GACGAACGCUGGCGGCGUGCCUAAUACAUGCAAGUUGAGCGCUGAAGGUUGGUACUUGUACCAACUGGAUGAGCAGCGAACGGGUGAGUAACGCGUGGGGAAUCUGCCUUUGAGCGGGGGACAACAUUUGGAAACGAAUGCUAAUACCGCAUAAAAACUUUAAACACAAGUUUUAAGUUUGAAAGAUGCAAUUGCAUCACUCAAAGAUGAUCCCGCGUUGUAUUAGCUAGUUGGUGAGGUAAAGGCUCACCAAGGCGAUGAUACAUAGCCGACCUGAGAGGGUGGUCGGCCACAUUGGGACUGAGACACGGCCCAAACUCCUACGGGAGGCAGCAGUAGGGAAUCUUCGGCAAUGGACGAAAGUCUGACCGAGCAACGCCGCGCGAGUGAAGAAGGUUUUCGGAUCGUAAAACUCUGUUGGUAGAGAAGAACGUUGGUGAGAGUGGAAAGCUCAUCAAGUGACGGUAACUACCCAGAAAGGGACGGCUAACUACGUG
Molecule: ribosomal RNA, 497 nt
Filed under: uncultured bacterium
Lineage: Bacteria
Description: partial 16S ribosomal RNA
Rfam family: Bacterial small subunit ribosomal RNA
Source: RNAcentral